GACAGCUCAGCUGGUAGAGCAUGACGGCCCUUAAUCUCAGUGUUGUAGGUUCAAUUCCUGCAUUGCA
Non-coding RNA from Podarcis lilfordi (Lilford's wall lizard), 67 nucleotides. The record is from the annotation of a GenBank genome assembly. Lineage: Eukaryota; Metazoa; Chordata; Lepidosauria; Squamata; Lacertidae.